Molecule: ribosomal RNA, 466 nt
Filed under: uncultured bacterium
Lineage: Bacteria
Description: partial 16S ribosomal RNA
Rfam family: Bacterial small subunit ribosomal RNA
Source: RNAcentral
AUGCACGCUGGCGGCGUGCUUAACACCUGCCAGUCGCACGAUGAUGCCCAGCUUGCUGGGUGGAUUAGUGGCGAACGGGUGAGUAACACGUGAGUAACCUGCCCUUGACUCUGGGAUAAGCCUGGGAAACUGGGUCUAAUACCGGAUACGACCAUCUGGCGCAUGUCAUGGUGGUGGAAAGCUUUUGUGGUUUUGGAUGGACUCGCGGCCUAUCAGCUUGUUGGUGGGGUAAUGGCCUACCAAGGCGACGACGGGUAGCCGGCCUGAGAGGGUGACCGGCCACACUGGGACUGAGACACGGCCCAGACUCCUACGGGAGGCAGCAGUGGGGAAUAUUGCACAAUGGGCGCAAGCCUGAUGCAGCGACGCCGCGUGAGGGAUGACGGCCUUCGGGUUGUAAACCUCUUUCAGUAGGGAAGAAGCGAAAGUGACGGUACCUGCAGAAGAAGCGCCGGCUAACUACGUG